CNUUCUGUGCCGGAGUUAACGCAAUAAGUACCCCGCCUGGGGAGUACGACCGCAAGGUUGAAACUCAAAGGAAUUGACGGGGGCCCGCACAAGCGGUGGAGUAUGUGGUUUAAUUCGACGCAACGCGAAGAACCUUACCAGGUCUUGACAUUGAUGGACAGAACCAGAGAUGGUUCCUCUUCUUCGGAAGCCAGAAAACAGGUGGUGCACGGUUGUCGUCAGCUCGUGUCGUGAGAUGUUGGGUNNNNNNNNNNNNNNNAGCGCAACCCCUAUCUUAUGUUGCCAGCACUUUGGGUGGGGACUCAUGAGAGACUGCCGCAGACAAUGCNGAGGAAGGCGGGGAUGACGUCAAAUCAUCAUGCCCCUUAUGACCUGGGCUACACACGUACUACAAUGGGAGUUAAUAGACGGAAGCGAGAUCGCGAGAUGGAGCAAACCCGAGAAACACUCUCUCAGUUCGGAUCGUAGGCUGCAACUCGCCUACGUGAAGUCGGAAUCGCUAGUAAUCGCAGGUCAGCAUACUGCGGUGAAUACGUUCCCGGGC
Molecule: ribosomal RNA, 544 nt
Filed under: uncultured bacterium
Lineage: Bacteria
Description: partial 16S ribosomal RNA
Rfam family: Bacterial small subunit ribosomal RNA
Source: RNAcentral